AAUACCGAGGCGAUCGGGCGAACUGUGGUUAAGGAACUCGGCAAAUUACCCCCGUAACUUCGGGAGAAGGGGGGCCACAGACCGUGAAACCCCAUGCGGGUGGCAGCGGUAGGUGGCCGCAGAGACCAGGGGGAAGCGACUGUUUACUAAAAACACAGGUCCGUGCGAAGUCGUAAGACGAUGUAUACGGACUGACGCCUGCCCGGUGCUGGAACGUUAAGGGGACCGGUUAGUCCGCAAGGGCGAAGCUGAGAACUUAAGCGCCAGUAAACGGCGGUGGUAACUAUAACCAUCCUAAGGUAGCGAAAUUCCUUGUCGGGUAAGUUCCGACCUGCACGAAUGGCGUAACGACUUCCCUACUGUCUCAACCACAGGCCCGGCGAAAUUGCACUACGAGUAAGGAUGCUCGUUACGCGCGGAAGGACGGAAAGACCCCGGGACCUUCACUAUAGCUUGACAUUGGUACUCGAAUUGAAGUGUGUAGGAUAGGUGGGAGACUAUGAAGCUCGGACGCCAGUCCGGGUGGAGUCAACGUUGAAAUACCACUCUGUUGAAUUUGGGUAUCUAACUUCGGACCGUGAUCCGGUUCAGGGACAGUGUCUGGUGGGUAGUUUAACUGGGGCGGUUGCCUCCUAAAAUGUAACGGAGGCGCCCAAAGGUUCCCUCAGCCUGGUUCAAUCAGGUGUUGAGUGCAAGUGCACAAGGGAGCUUGACUGUGAGACUGACAGGUCGAGCAGGGACGAAAGUCGGGACUAGUGAUCCGGCACCGGCGAGUGGAAGCGGUGUCGCUCAACGGAUAAAAGGUACCCCGGGGAUAACAGGCUGAUCUUCCCCAAGAGUCCAUAUCGACGGGAUGGUUUGGCACCUCGAUGUCGGCUCGUCGCAUCCUGGGGCUGGAGUAGGUCCCAAGGGUUGGGCUGUUCGCCCAUUAAAGCGGCACGCGAGCUGGGUUUAGAACGUCGUGAGACAGUUCGGUCCCUAUCCUCCGCGCGCGCAGGAGACUUGAGAAGAGCUGUCCCUAGUACGAGAGGACCGGGACGGACGAACCUCUGGUGUGCCAGUUGUCAUGCCAAUGGCACGGCUGGUUAGCUACGUUCGGAAGGGAUAACCGCUGAAAGCAUCUAAGCGGGAAGCCUGCUUCAAGAUGAGGUCUCCCACCCCCUCGAGGGUUAAGGCCCCCAGCAAGACCACUGGGUUGAUAGGCCAGAAGUGUAAGCCUGGUAACAGGUUCAGCCGACUGGUACUAAUAGGCCGAGGACUUC
RNAcentral lists this ribosomal RNA (1262 nucleotides) under metagenome. RNAcentral's name for it is "bacterial LSU rRNA". It matches the Rfam family "Bacterial large subunit ribosomal RNA", at positions 1677 to 2925 of the family's 2925-position model. The record is from RNAcentral.